This 125-nucleotide small RNA is filed under the name Citrobacter freundii. RNAcentral describes it as "StyR-44". It matches the Rfam family "Salmonella enterica Typhi npcRNA 44". Lineage: Bacteria; Pseudomonadati; Pseudomonadota; Gammaproteobacteria; Enterobacterales; Enterobacteriaceae. The record is from RNAcentral.
CUUUAAAAAUCUGGAUCAAGCUGAAAAUUGAAACGACACACUGUUUCAUUUCUCCGUAAUAAGAAAUGAAAAGCGGUGUGUUCGAGUCUCUCAAAUUUUCGCAAUCAGAAGUGAAACAUCUUCGG